Molecule: ribosomal RNA, 497 nt
Filed under: uncultured bacterium
Lineage: Bacteria
Description: partial 16S ribosomal RNA
Rfam family: Bacterial small subunit ribosomal RNA
Source: RNAcentral
GAUGAACGCUGGCGGCGUGCCUAAUACAUGCAAGUCGAGCGAACGGACGAGAAGCUUGCUUCUCUGAUGUUAGCGGCGGACGGGUGAGUAACACGUGGAUAACCUACCUAUAAGACUGGGAUAACUUCGGGAAACCGGAGCUAAUACCGGAUAAUAUUUUGAACCGCAUGGUUCAAAAGUGAAAGACGGUCUUGCUGUCACUUAUAGAUGGAUCCGCGCUGCAUUAGCUAGUUGGUAAGGUAACGGCUUACCAAGGCAACGAUGCAUAGACGACCUGAGAGGGUGAUCGGCCACACUGGAACUGAGACACGGUCCAGACUCCCACGGGAGGCAGCAGUAGGGAAUCUUCCGCAAUGGGCGAAAGCCUGACGGAGCAACGCCGCGUGAGUGAUGAAGGUCUUCGGAUCGUAAAACUCUGUUAUUAGGGAAGAACAUAUGUGUAAGUAACUGUGCACAUCUUGACGGUACCUAAUCAGAAAGCCACGGCUAACUACGUG